GACGAACGCUGGCGGCGUGCUUAACACAUGCAAGUCGAACGGUGAAGGGGUCUGCUUUUGUGGGCCCUGGAUGAGUGGCGAACGGGUGAGUAACACGUGAGUAACCUGCCCCCUUCUUCUGGAUAACCGCAUGAAAGUGUGGCUAAUACGGGAUAUUCUGGGUCUGUCGCAUGAUGGGUCUGGGAAAGAUUGCGCCUUUGGGUGUUGUUGGUGGGGGAUGGGCUCGCGGCCUAUCAGCUUGUUGGUGGGGUGCUGGCCUACCAAGGCGGUGACGGGUAGCCGGCCUGAGGGGGUGGACGGUCACACUGGGACUGAGACACGGCCCAGACUCCUACGGGAGGCAGCAGUGGGGGAUAUUGCACAAUGGGCGCAAGCCUGAUGCAGCGACGCCGCGUGAGGGAUGGAGGCCUUCGGGUUGUAAACCUCUUUCGCCAGUGAAGCAGGCCUGCUCCUUGUGGGUGGGUUGACGGUAGCUGGAGAAGAAGCGCCGGCUAACUACGUG
RNAcentral lists this ribosomal RNA (502 nucleotides) under uncultured bacterium. Its description in RNAcentral is "partial 16S ribosomal RNA". It matches the Rfam family "Bacterial small subunit ribosomal RNA", at positions 28 to 507 of the family's 1533-position model. The record is from RNAcentral.